AGUGAACGCUGGCGGUAGGCCUAACACAUGCAAGUCGAACGGCAGCACAGUAAGAGCUUGCUCUUACGGGUGGCGAGUGGCGGACGGGUGAGGAAUACAUCGGAAUCUUCUUUUUCGUGGGGGAUAACGUAGGGAAACUUAUGCUAAUACCGCAUAUGACCUACGGGUGAAAGCAGGGGUUCUUCGGACCUUGCGCGAUUGAAUGAGCCGAUGUCGGAUUAGCUAGUUGGCGGGGUAAAGGCCCACCAAGGCGACGAUCCGUAGCUGGUCUGAGAGGAUGUUCAGCCACACUGGAACUGAGACACGGUCCAGACUCCUACGGGAGGCAGCGGUGGGGAAUAUUGGACAAUGGGGACAAUCCUGAUCCAGCCAUACCGCGUGGGUGAAGAAGGCCUUCGGGUUGUAAAGCCCUUUUGUUGGGAAAGAAAUGCAGCAGGUUAAUACCCCGCUGUUCUGACGGUACCCAAAGAAUAAGCACCGGCUAACUUCGUG
This 492-nucleotide ribosomal RNA is filed under the name uncultured bacterium. RNAcentral's name for it is "partial 16S ribosomal RNA". It matches the Rfam family "Bacterial small subunit ribosomal RNA", at positions 29 to 507 of the family's 1533-position model. The record is from RNAcentral.